RNAcentral lists this ribosomal RNA (470 nucleotides) under uncultured bacterium. Its description in RNAcentral is "bacterial SSU rRNA". It matches the Rfam family "Bacterial small subunit ribosomal RNA", at positions 30 to 494 of the family's 1533-position model. The record is from RNAcentral.
AUUGAACGCUGGCGGAAUGCUUUACACAUGCAAGUCGAACGGCAGCACGGGGGCAACCCUGGUGGCGAGUGGCGAACGGGUGAGUAAUACAUCGGAACGUGCCCAGUCGUGGGGGAUAACUACGCGAAAGCGUAGCUAAUACCGCAUACGAUCUACGGAUGAAAGCGGGGGAUCGCAAGACCUCGCGCGAUUGGAGCGGCCGAUGGCAGAUUAGGUUGUUGGGAGGUAAAGGCUCACCAAGCCGACGAUCUGUAGCUGGUCUGAGAGGACGACCAGCCACACUGGGACUGAGACACGGCCCAGACUCCUACGGGAGGCAGCAGUGGGGAAUUUUGGACAAUGGGCGCAAGCCUGAUCCAGCCAUUCCGCGUGCAGGAUGAAGGCCCUCGGGUUGUAAACUGCUUUUGUACGGAACGAAACGGCGCUUUCUAAUACAAGGCGCUAAUGACGGUACCGUAAGAAUAAGCACC